GGGAUGCGGCGCUGGCGGGGCGCGGGGCUGGCGGCGCUGGCCGCGGUGCUGCUCGUGGCUGCGGGCAGAGCCCAGGUGCAGCAGGAGCCGUUGGCACAAACCCCCGAGGGCACGGAAAUCACCAUCAACUGCUCACACCCGACCAUACGGACCAAUGACUAUAUCCACUGGUACCGUCAGCUCCCGGGCCGCGGCCCCGAAUUCCUCGUGAGCAUUCACAAAGGCUCCAGAGAUCUGCCGGACAAGGCGGGCCAGGUGUCGGUGUCGCCAGACCGUCGCUGGAGCACCCUCUGUCUCUCCGGGCCCCGUGUUGGGGACGCGGCGGUGUAUUACUGUGCCCUGGCAGACACGGCCAGAGGAGCCGGGGCUGCGGCCGGGCACGAACCGCCGCGGGCGGGGCCGGGCGGGGCCGGGGGCACAGCGCCGGCCGGGGCCAGCAGGGGCCGCUCCUGCACCUCCAGAUUUCUUUCUCAAACCAUGUCCCGCCUUCCUGGGCCCCCUUGUUUCAAAGGGCUGCUUUCCAAGGGCCUUUCCGAAUCGGUGUCCUCAACAGUCCCAAGUCCAACCUCCAGCAGUCGAGGGUACAGGUUUGAUUGAUGCUCCCCCUUAUUUCCCCAAGUAUGGAAAACUCUAUCAUUUCAUGGUUGCUGUGCUCCAGAUGGCCUUUGAUCAGCACAUCUCUCACCAACCCUCCUCUGUUUGCAAACAGCAGGUCUGGGUGCUGUAUAAACUGCCUGACAAUCAAAAAAAUUAAAAUUCCACCGAUGGCA
Molecule: non-coding RNA, 770 nt
Organism: Pseudopipra pipra
Lineage: Eukaryota; Metazoa; Chordata; Aves; Passeriformes; Pipridae
Source: the annotation of a RefSeq genome assembly